GAUGAACGCUAGCUACAGGCUUAACACAUGCAAGUCGAGGGGAAACGAUAGAGAAGGCUUGCUUUUUCUAGGCGUCGACCGGCGCACGGGUGAGUAACGCGUAUCCAACCUGCCCACCACUUGGGAAUAACCUUGCGAAAGUAAGACUAAUACCCAAUGAUAUCUCUAGAAGACAUCUGAAGGAGAUUAAAGAUUUAUCGGUGAUGGAUGGGGAUGCGUCUGAUUAGCUUGUUGGCGGGGUAACGGCCCACCAAGGCGACGAUCAGUAGGGGUUCUUAGAGGAAGGUCCCCACCAUUGGAACUGAGACACGGUCCAAACUCCUACGGGAGGCAGCAGUGAGGAAUAUUGGUCAAUGGGCGAGAGCCUGAACCAGCCAAGUAGCGUGCAGGAUGACGGCCCUAUGGGUUGUAAACUGCUUUUAUAAGGGAAUAAAGUGAGCCUCGUGAGGCUUUUUGCAUGUACCUUAUGAAUAAGGACCGGCUAAUUCCGUGCCAGCCGCCGCCGUAA
This 508-nucleotide ribosomal RNA is filed under the name uncultured bacterium. Its description in RNAcentral is "partial 16S ribosomal RNA". It matches the Rfam family "Bacterial small subunit ribosomal RNA", at positions 28 to 523 of the family's 1533-position model. The record is from RNAcentral.